GGUGGGUAGUCCGCACGAGCGCACCCUUAUCCUUAGUUGCCAGCACGUAAUGGUGGGAACUCUAAGGAGACUGCCGGUGACAAACCGGAGGAAGGUGGGGACGACGUCAAGUCAUCAUGGCCCUUACGAGAUGGGCUACACACGUGCUACAAUGGCAAGUACAAAGGGUUGCAAACUCGCGAGAGUAAGCGGAUCCCAUAAAGCUUGUCGUAGUCCGGAUUGGAGUCUGCAACUCGACUCCAUGAAGUCGGAAUCGCUAGUAAUCGUGGAUCAGAAUGCCACGGUGAAUACGUUCCCGGGCCUUGUACACACCGCCCGUCACACCAUGGGAGUGGGCUGCAAAAGAAGUGGAUAGCUUAACCUUCGGGAGGGCGUUCACCACUUUGUGGUUCAUGACUGGGGUGAAGUCGUAACAAGGUAGCCGUAGGGGAACCUGCGGCUGGAUCACCUCCUU
Molecule: ribosomal RNA, 454 nt
Filed under: uncultured Gammaproteobacteria bacterium
Lineage: Bacteria; Pseudomonadati; Pseudomonadota; Gammaproteobacteria
Description: bacterial SSU rRNA
Rfam family: Bacterial small subunit ribosomal RNA
Source: RNAcentral